UUUCAGACUCAAAUGAACAAUCCUCCAUUCAAAAAGUCCGGAUGGUGGCAACCAAAAGAAAAUGUUCAUUGUACUCAUACUUCUUUUGGCUGUCGGCGGUGCCAUCGUCUUGGCCACAAUCAUCUUCAGCGGCUCAGGGGACGUUGUGGAUGAAGAGGAAGCCGACAAAUCCGGUGGCGGAGGCACAAGCGGAGGUGGAGACGGCGGCUCAACC
This is a long non-coding RNA of Ixodes scapularis (black-legged tick), 214 nucleotides long. RefSeq lists it as uncharacterized. Lineage: Eukaryota; Metazoa; Arthropoda; Arachnida; Ixodida; Ixodidae. The record is from RefSeq and is a predicted model, not a curated record. The transcript has 3 exons.